AUCUGGUUAGCUCAGUUGCUAGAGCGCUGCACUGGAGAUGGACAGCUCCCUGGUUCGAUACCAGGACCAGGCA
RNAcentral lists this transfer RNA (73 nucleotides) under Ixodes scapularis (black-legged tick). It matches the Rfam family "tRNA". From Rfam's summary of the family: Transfer RNA (tRNA) molecules are approximately 80 nucleotides in length. Their secondary structure includes four short double-helical elements and three loops (D, anti-codon, and T loops). The record is from Rfam by way of RNAcentral. Lineage: Eukaryota; Metazoa; Arthropoda; Arachnida; Ixodida; Ixodidae.